CAGCACCUCAAGUGGUCAGGAUGAUUAUUGGGCCUAAAGCAUCCGUAGCCGGCGCUGUAAGUUUUCGGUUAAAUCUGUACGCUCAACGUACAGGCUGCCGGGAAUACUGCAGGGCUAGGGAGUGGGAGAGGUAGACGGUACUCGGUAGGAAGGGGUAAAAUCCUUUGAUCUAUUGAUGACCACCUGUGGCGAAGGCGGUCUACCAGAACACGUCCGACGGUGAGGGAUGAAAGCUGGGGGAGCAAACCGGAUUAGAUACCCGAGUAGUCC
Molecule: ribosomal RNA, 270 nt
Filed under: uncultured archaeon
Lineage: Archaea
Description: partial 16S ribosomal RNA
Rfam family: Archaeal small subunit ribosomal RNA
Source: RNAcentral